UGGGGCGUAGCCAAGCGGUAAGGCAUUGGUUUUUGGUAUCAUGAUCCCUGGUUCGAAUCCAGGCGCCCCAG
Molecule: transfer RNA, 71 nt
Filed under: Gammaproteobacteria bacterium
Lineage: Bacteria; Pseudomonadati; Pseudomonadota; Gammaproteobacteria
Also listed under: 1 other name
Description: tRNA-Gln
Rfam family: tRNA
About the family: Transfer RNA (tRNA) molecules are approximately 80 nucleotides in length. Their secondary structure includes four short double-helical elements and three loops (D, anti-codon, and T loops).
Source: RNAcentral